AGCGGCCAGAGCAUGGGGGGCACGCCCGGUCCCGUUCCGAACCCGGAAGCUAAGCCCCAUCGCGCAGAGAGUACUGCGGGGUCGGCCCGUGGGAGGCCAGG
RNAcentral lists this ribosomal RNA (101 nucleotides) under Collinsella aerofaciens. The record is from RNAcentral. Lineage: Bacteria; Bacillati; Actinomycetota; Coriobacteriia; Coriobacteriales; Coriobacteriaceae.